GUGCCAGCAGCCGCGGUAAGACAGAGGUGCCGAGCGUUAGGCGGAAUCACUGGGCUUAAAGCGUGUGUAGGCGGGUCGUUAAGUACCUUGUGAAAUCCCCCGGCUUAACCGGGGAACUGCUGGGUAUACUGGCGACCUUGAGCAAUCCAGGGGCGAGCGGAACAAGCGGUGGAGCGGUGAAAUGCGUAGAUAUCGCUUGGAACGCCGACGGUGAAAACAGCUCGCUGGGGAUUCGCUGACGCUGAGACACGAAAGCCAGGGGAGCAAACGGGAUUAGAUACCCCCGUAGUCC
RNAcentral lists this ribosomal RNA (292 nucleotides) under uncultured bacterium. RNAcentral describes it as "partial 16S ribosomal RNA". It matches the Rfam family "Bacterial small subunit ribosomal RNA", at positions 505 to 796 of the family's 1533-position model. The record is from RNAcentral.